RNAcentral lists this ribosomal RNA (305 nucleotides) under uncultured bacterium. RNAcentral describes it as "bacterial SSU rRNA". It matches the Rfam family "Bacterial small subunit ribosomal RNA", at positions 335 to 654 of the family's 1533-position model. The record is from RNAcentral.
UUUCCUACGGGAGGCAGCAGUGGGGAAUAUUGGGCAAUGGGCGCAAGCCUGACCCAGCAACGCCGCGUGAAGGAAGAAGGCUUUCGGGUUGUAAACUUCUUUUCUGGGGGACGAAGAAAGUGACGGUACCCCAAUAGCAAGCCACGGCUAACUACGUGCCAGCAGCCGCGGUAAUACGUAGGUGGCAAGCGUUAUCCGGAAUGACUGGGCGUAAAGGGUGCGUAGGUGGUUUAGUAAGUUGGCGGUGUAAUUCCGGGGCUCAACCUCGGCGCUACCGCCAAAACUAUUAGACUAGAGUGCAGGAG